GACGAGCGCUGGCGGCGUGCCUAAUACAUGCAAGUAGAACGCUGAAGCUUGGUGCUUGCACCGAGCGGAUGAGUUGCGAACGGGUGAGUAACGCGUAGGUAACCUGCCUGGUAGCGGGGGAUAACUAUUGGAAACGAUAGCUAAUACCGCAUAAGAGUAGAUGUUGCAUGGCAUUUGCUUAAAAGGUGCAAUUGCAUCACUACCAGAUGGACCCGCGUUGUAUUAGCUAGUUGGUGAGGUAACGGCUCACCAAGGCAACGAUACAUAGCCGACCUGAGAGGGUGAUCGGCCACACUGGGACUGAGACACGGCCCAGACUCCUACGGGAGGCAGCAGUAGGGAAUCUUCGGCAAUGGACGGAAGUCUGACCGAGCAACGCCGCGUGAGUGAAGAAGGUUUUCGGAUCGUAAAGCUCUGUUGUAAGAGAAGAACGAGUGUGAGAGUGGAAAGUUCACACUGUGACGGUAUCUUACCAGAAAGGGACGGCUAACUACGUG
Molecule: ribosomal RNA, 497 nt
Filed under: uncultured bacterium
Lineage: Bacteria
Description: partial 16S ribosomal RNA
Rfam family: Bacterial small subunit ribosomal RNA
Source: RNAcentral